GCGUAUUUGCUGCUUGCAUCUUUUUAUGCUUUUUGCGCGAGAAGUUGGAUUCAGUGAUCUUCAAAUAUGACAGAGGUUUUAGAGUCACUAGACAUGAGCAAGAUCCAGUAAUUCCACAGACACUACCGUUGUCUUCCAUAGAUAUCGAUGAUGUUGUUGUUCCUCUGCUACAGCAGACACUGUGAUUGCAUUAACAUGUACCGUCUUUUACGGCCAA
This 217-nucleotide unclassified non-coding RNA is filed under the name Hevea brasiliensis (rubber tree). Lineage: Eukaryota; Viridiplantae; Streptophyta; Magnoliopsida; Malpighiales; Euphorbiaceae. The record is from RNAcentral.